This 1269-nucleotide ribosomal RNA is filed under the name Exiguobacterium aurantiacum. RNAcentral describes it as "bacterial SSU rRNA". It matches the Rfam family "Bacterial small subunit ribosomal RNA", at positions 72 to 1353 of the family's 1533-position model. The record is from RNAcentral. RNAcentral also lists the same sequence under 1 other name. Lineage: Bacteria; Bacillati; Bacillota; Bacilli; Caryophanales.
AGCCCAGCUUGCUGGGUGGAUUAGUGGCGAACGGGUGAGUAACACGUGAGUAACCUACCCUUGACUCUGGGAUAAGCCUGGGAAACUGGGUCUAAUACCGGAUAGGAACGUCCACCGCAUGGUGGUUGUUGGAAAGAUUUAUCGGUCAUGGAUGGACUCGCGGCCUAUCAGCUUGUUGGUGAGGUAAUGGCUCACCAAGGCGACGACGGGUAGCCGGCCUGAGAGGGUGACCGGCCACACUGGGACUGAGACACGGCCCAGACUCCUACGGGAGGCAGCAGUGGGGAAUAUUGCACAAUGGGCGAAAGCCUGAUGCAGCGACGCCGCGUGAGGGAUGACGGCCUUCGGGUUGUAAACCUCUUUCAGUAGGGAAGAAGCGAAAGUGACGGUACCUGCAGAAGAAGCACCGGCUAACUACGUGCCAGCAGCCGCGGUAAUACGUAGGGUGCGAGCGUUAUCCGGAAUUAUUGGGCGUAAAGAGCUCGUAGGCGGUUUGUCGCGUCUGUCGUGAAAGUCCGGGGCUUAACCCCGGAUCUGCGGUGGGUACGGGCAGACUAGAGUGCAGUAGGGGAGACUGGAAUUCCUGGUGUAGCGGUGGAAUGCGCAGAUAUCAGGAGGAACACCGAUGGCGAAGGCAGGUCUCUGGGCUGUAACUGACGCUGAGGAGCGAAAGCAUGGGGAGCGAACAGGAUUAGAUACCCUGGUAGUCCAUGCCGUAAACGUUGGGCACUAGGUGUGGGGACCAUUCCACGGUUUCCGCGCCGCAGCUAACGCAUUAAGUGCCCCGCCUGGGGAGUACGGCCGCAAGGCUAAAACUCAAAGGAAUUGACGGGGGCCCGCACAAGCGGCGGAGCAUGCGGAUUAAUUCGAUGCAACGCGAAGAACCUUACCAAGGCUUGACAUGUUCUCGAUCGCCGUAGAGAUACGGUUUCCCCUUUGGGGCGGGAUCACAGGUGGUGCAUGGUUGUCGUCAGCUCGUGUCGUGAGAUGUUGGGUUAAGUCCCGCAACGAGCGCAACCCUCGUUCCAUGUUGCCAGCACGUAAUGGUGGGGACUCAUGGGAGACUGCCGGGGUCAACUCGGAGGAAGGUGGGGACGACGUCAAAUCAUCAUGCCCCUUAUGUCUUGGGCUUCACGCAUGCUACAAUGGCCGGUACAAUGGGUUGCGAUACUGUGAGGUGGAGCUAAUCCCAAAAAGCCGGUCUCAGUUCGGAUUGGGGUCUGCAACUCGACCCCAUGAAGUCGGAGUCGCUAGUAAUCGCAGAUCAGC